This 339-nucleotide unclassified non-coding RNA is filed under the name soil metagenome. Its description in RNAcentral is "partial contains 5.8S ribosomal RNA, internal transcribed spacer 2, and large subunit ribosomal RNA". The stretch from base 1 to 120 matches the Rfam family "5.8S ribosomal RNA", at positions 35 to 154 of the family's 154-position model. The record is from RNAcentral.
GAUGAAGAACGUAGCGAAAUGCGAUAAGUAAUGUGAAUUGCAGAAUUCCGUGAAUCAUCGAAUCUUUGAACGCACAUUGCGCCCCCUGGUAUUCCGGGGGGCAUGCCUGUCCGAGCGUCAUUGCAACCCUCAAGCGCGGCUUGUGUGUUGGGCUUCGUCCCCCCGUGGACGUGCCCGAAAGGCAGUGGCGGCGUCCCGAAUGGUGCCCGAGCGUAUGGGAACUCUCUUCCGCUCGAACCGGCCCAUUCGGCGCUGGUCGAACCCCAAUUUUUUUUUACCGGUUGACCUCGGAUCCGGUAGGGAUACCCGCUGAACUUAAGCAUAUCAAUAAGCGGAGGA